UUUCUUCUUCAACUAAAAUGUGUACUUAUUGUAAAAUUAUAUUUGGAGGGUAUUUAAAUUUAAUACUCAUAAAAACAAAAUAUAUGGACUUAUCUCUUAAGCUUCAAAUAAUAAAUAUGAGAUUAUAAAGUUAGAGGUCAAAAUAGGAAAAUAAACAGGUAAAAAUAACAAAUAUUUUAUAUAAUAAACUUUCAUACAUAAAUGAAAAGUCCUCUUCUCCCUUUCCCAUUAAAUGACUUCCUUUCCCCGUGUUCUCUAUACUCCAAACAAAUUAAUGUUAAAGUAAAAUA
RNAcentral lists this long non-coding RNA (290 nucleotides) under Lathyrus oleraceus (garden pea). RNAcentral's name for it is "Pisum sativum (pea) long non-coding RNA (PSAT_LNC040727)". Lineage: Eukaryota; Viridiplantae; Streptophyta; Magnoliopsida; Fabales; Fabaceae. The record is from RNAcentral.